Molecule: ribosomal RNA, 2893 nt
Filed under: Enterobacter hormaechei subsp. oharae
Lineage: Bacteria; Pseudomonadati; Pseudomonadota; Gammaproteobacteria; Enterobacterales; Enterobacteriaceae
Description: bacterial LSU rRNA
Rfam family: Bacterial large subunit ribosomal RNA
Source: RNAcentral
ACUAAGCGUACACGGUGGAUGCCCUGGCAGUCAGAGGCGAUGAAGGACGUGCUAAUCUGCGAAAAGCGCCGGCGAGGUGAUAUGAACCUUUGACCCGGCGAUGUCCGAAUGGGGAAACCCAGUGUGUUCCGACACACUAUCGUUAACUGAAUACAUAGGUUAACGAGGCGAACCGGGGGAACUGAAACAUCUAAGUACCCCGAGGAAAAGAAAUCAACCGAGAUUCCCCCAGUAGCGGCGAGCGAACGGGGAGCAGCCCGGAGUCUGAAUCAGCUUGUGUGUUAGUGGAACGGUCUGGAAAGUCCGACGGUACAGGGUGAUAGUCCCGUACACGAAAAUGCACAUGCUGUGAACUCGAAGAGUAGGGCGGGACACGUGGUAUCCUGUCUGAAUAUGGGGGGACCAUCCUCCAAGGCUAAAUACUCCUGACUGACCGAUAGUGAACCAGUACCGUGAGGGAAAGGCGAAAAGAACCCCGGCGAGGGGAGUGAAAAAGAACCUGAAACCGUGUACGUACAAGCAGUGGGAGCACCUUCGGGUGUGACUGCGUACCUUUUGUAUAAUGGGUCAGCGACUUAUAUUCUGUAGCAAGGUUAACCGUAUAGGGGAGCCGAAGGGAAACCGAGUCUUAACUGGGCGUUAAGUUGCAGGGUAUAGACCCGAAACCCGGUGAUCUAGCCAUGGGCAGGUUGAAGGUUGGGUAACACUAACUGGAGGACCGAACCGACUAAUGUUGAAAAAUUAGCGGAUGACCUGUGGCUGGGGGUGAAAGGCCAAUCAAACCGGGAGAUAGCUGGUUCUCCCCGAAAGCUAUUUAGGUAGCGCCUCGUGAACUCAUCUUCGGGGGUAGAGCACUGUUUCGGCUAGGGGGCCAUCCCGGCUUACCAACCCGAUGCAAACUACGAAUACCGAAGAAUGUUAUCACGGGAGACACACGGCGGGUGCUAACGUCCGUCGUGAAGAGGGAAACAACCCAGACCGCCAGCUAAGGUCCCAAAGUCAUGGUUAAGUGGGAAACGAUGUGGGAAGGCACAGACAGCCAGGAUGUUGGCUUAGAAGCAGCCAUCAUUUAAAGAAAGCGUAAUAGCUCACUGGUCGAGUCGGCCUGCGCGGAAGAUGUAACGGGGCUAAACCAUGCACCGAAGCUGCGGCAGCGACACUAUGUGUUGUUGGGUAGGGGAGCGUUCUGUAAGCCGUUGAAGGUGUGCUGUGAGGCAUGCUGGAGGUAUCAGAAGUGCGAAUGCUGACAUAAGUAACGAUAAAGCGGGUGAAAAGCCCGCUCGCCGGAAGACCAAGGGUUCCUGUCCAACGUUAAUCGGGGCAGGGUGAGUCGACCCCUAAGGCGAGGCCGAAAGGCGUAGUCGAUGGGAAACAGGUUAAUAUUCCUGUACUUGGUGUUACUGCGAAGGGGGGACGGAGAAGGCUAUGUCAGCCGGGCGACGGUUGUCCCGGUUUAAGCAUGUAGGCGGAGGUUCCAGGUAAAUCCGGUACCUUAUUAACGCUGAGGUGUGAUGACGAGGCACUACGGUGCUGAAGUGAUAAAUGCCCUGCUUCCAGGAAAAGCCUCUAAGCAUCAGGUAACACGAAAUCGUACCCCAAACCGACACAGGUGGUCAGGUAGAGAAUACCAAGGCGCUUGAGAGAACUCGGGUGAAGGAACUAGGCAAAAUGGUGCCGUAACUUCGGGAGAAGGCACGCUGAUAUGUAGGUGAAGCCCCUGCGGGCGGAGCUGAAAUCAGUCGAAGAUACCAGCUGGCUGCAACUGUUUAUUAAAAACACAGCACUGUGCAAACACGAAAGUGGACGUAUACGGUGUGACGCCUGCCCGGUGCCGGAAGGUUAAUUGAUGGGGUUAGCGGCAACGCGAAGCUCUUGAUCGAAGCCCCGGUAAACGGCGGCCGUAACUAUAACGGUCCUAAGGUAGCGAAAUUCCUUGUCGGGUAAGUUCCGACCUGCACGAAUGGCGUAAUGAUGGCCAGGCUGUCUCCACCCGAGACUCAGUGAAAUUGAACUCGCUGUGAAGAUGCAGUGUACCCGCGGCAAGACGGAAAGACCCCGUGAACCUUUACUAUAGCUUGACACUGAACACUGGUCCUUGAUGUGUAGGAUAGGUGGGAGGCUUUGAAGCGUGGACGCCAGUCUGCGUGGAGCCGCCCUUGAAAUACCACCCUUUAAUGGCUGGUGUUCUAACGUAGACCCGUGAUCCGGGUUGCGGACAGUGUCUGGUGGGUAGUUUGACUGGGGCGGUCUCCUCCCAAAGAGUAACGGAGGAGCACGAAGGUUGGCUAAUCCUGGUCGGACAUCAGGAGGUUAGUGCAAUGGCAUAAGCCAGCUUGACUGCGAGCGUGACGGCGCGAGCAGGUGCGAAAGCAGGUCAUAGUGAUCCGGUGGUUCUGAAUGGAAGGGCCAUCGCUCAACGGAUAAAAGGUACUCCGGGGAUAACAGGCUGAUACCGCCCAAGAGUUCAUAUCGACGGCGGUGUUUGGCACCUCGAUGUCGGCUCAUCACAUCCUGGGGCUGAAGUAGGUCCCAAGGGUAUGGCUGUUCGCCAUUUAAAGUGGUACGCGAGCUGGGUUUAGAACGUCGUGAGACAGUUCGGUCCCUAUCUGCCGUGGGCGCUGGAGAAUUGAGGGGGGCUGCUCCUAGUACGAGAGGACCGGAGUGGACGCAUCACUGGUGUUCGGGUUGUCAUGCCAAUGGCACUGCCCGGUAGCUAAAUGCGGAAGAGAUAAGUGCUGAAAGCAUCUAAGCACGAAACUUGCCCCGAGAUGAGUUCUCCCUGAGACCUUGAGUCUCCUGAAGGAACGUUGAAGACGACGACGUUGAUAGGUCGGGUGUGUAAGCGCAGCGAUGCGUUGAGCUAACCGAUACUAAUGAACCGUGAGGCUUAACC